This 67-nucleotide transfer RNA is filed under the name Eurycea wilderae. RNAcentral's name for it is "tRNA-Trp". The record is from RNAcentral. Lineage: Eukaryota; Metazoa; Chordata; Amphibia; Caudata; Plethodontidae.
AGACUUAGGAUAGCUAGACCAAAGGCCUUCAAAGCCUUAAGCACAAGUUUAAACCUUCUAUCUCUUG